This 104-nucleotide ribosomal RNA is filed under the name Propithecus coquereli (Coquerel's sifaka). Lineage: Eukaryota; Metazoa; Chordata; Mammalia; Primates; Indriidae. The record is from RNAcentral.
GUCUACAGCCAUACCACCCUGAACGCGCCCGAUCUUGUCAUCUCGGAAGCUAAGCAGAGUCUGGCCUGGUUAGUACUUGGAUAGGAAGCCAAAGUGCCGAAACA